GGUACCCUGUACACAAGAGUGGAGCCGAGUCUGGGUCAGGUGCACCUGAUGCUCCUGGAGGCUGGCAGCAGAACCAUAGACUCAAAGUCCUCAGUCUUUAGAGUCCAGUUUUAUAGGGAUUUUUCCCUAUGUUAGUUUAUGGGAGUUGUUUCAUUCUGCUGUUGCUUGAUCAAUCAGCAGGUGGCUGGCUCCAUUCUGUAGGUGCUUGGGGUGGAUUCCAGUUCGCCCUCCGGGGGUCAUCUGGUUGAUUCCACUUGACACCUUCUUCGACCGACACUGAAUUUUUCAGGCUGGUAACUCCCUAACCAUUCAUUCAUCAUUUAAACUAGGCACUCAUUCACAUACACUCUUUAUCUUUUGGG
Long non-coding RNA from Gopherus flavomarginatus (Mexican gopher tortoise), 362 nucleotides. RefSeq lists it as uncharacterized. Lineage: Eukaryota; Metazoa; Chordata; Testudines; Testudinidae. The record is from RefSeq and is a predicted model, not a curated record. The transcript is spliced from 2 exons.